GACGAACCGUGCAAACGUUGUUCGGAAUCACUGGGCUUAAAGGGCGCGUAGGCGGGCGGUCAAGUCAGGGGUGAAAGCCCCCAGCUCAACUGGGGAAGUGCCUUUGAUACUGGCCGUCUAGAGGGAGGUAGGGGCAUGCGGAACUUCCGGUGGAGCGGUGAAAUGCGUAGAUAUCGGGAGGAACACCAGUGGCGAAGGCGAUCUUCUGGACGGAUACUGACGCUGAGGCGCGAAAGCUAGAGGAGCAAACGGG
This 253-nucleotide ribosomal RNA is filed under the name uncultured bacterium. Its description in RNAcentral is "partial 16S ribosomal RNA". It matches the Rfam family "Bacterial small subunit ribosomal RNA", at positions 524 to 776 of the family's 1533-position model. The record is from RNAcentral.